UACGAAGGGGGCUAGCGUUGCUCGGAAUCACUGGGCGUAAAGCGCACGUAGGCGGAUUGUUAAGUCAGGGGUGAAAUCCUGGAGCUCAACUCCAGAACUGCCCUUGAUACUGGCGAUCUUGAGUCCGGAAGAGGUGAGUGGAACUCCGAGUGUAGAGGUGAAAUUCGUAGAUAUUCGGAAGAACACCAGUGGCGAAGGCGGCUCACUGGUCCGGUACUGACGCUGAGGUGCGAAAGCGUGGGGAGCAAACAGG
Molecule: ribosomal RNA, 253 nt
Filed under: uncultured bacterium
Lineage: Bacteria
Description: partial 16S ribosomal RNA
Rfam family: Bacterial small subunit ribosomal RNA
Source: RNAcentral